This 229-nucleotide unclassified non-coding RNA is filed under the name Hevea brasiliensis (rubber tree). Lineage: Eukaryota; Viridiplantae; Streptophyta; Magnoliopsida; Malpighiales; Euphorbiaceae. The record is from RNAcentral.
GUCAAAUUAUGUUGCAUUAUGCAUUCAUCUUUACUUCCAUCUGAUGGAUUCUUUUAUUAGUGUGUUGGUUUUCUAAUGUUUGUUCUAAUUCAUAUGAUGAUGACUGACUCUUAGCUAUAUAUUUUUCAAGACUAACAGCCAUAUGACCUUUCUUGAAUCAAAGCCAAUCAUAAAAUGCCAAGGGAAUAGUUCUAUUUGAAAUAUGGUUGUCUAGUACAAUAAAGUUUUU